RNAcentral lists this ribosomal RNA (460 nucleotides) under uncultured bacterium. Its description in RNAcentral is "partial 16S ribosomal RNA". It matches the Rfam family "Bacterial small subunit ribosomal RNA", at positions 338 to 795 of the family's 1533-position model. The record is from RNAcentral.
CCUACGGGAGGCAGCAGUGAGGAAUAUUGGUCAAUGGACGAGAGUCUGAACCAGCCAAGUAGCGUGAAGGAUGACUGCCCUAUGGGUUGUAAACUUCUUUUAUAUGGGAAUAAAAUGUUCCACGUGUGGGAUUUUGUAUGUACCAUAUGAAUAAGGAUCGGCUAACUCCGUGCCAGCAGCCGCGGUAAUACGGAGGAUCCGAGCGUUAUCCGGAUUUAUUGGGUUUAAAGGGAGCGUAGGUGGAUUGUUAAGUCAGUUGUGAAAGUUUGCGGCUCAACCGUAAAAUUGCAGUUGAAACUGGCAGUCUUGAGUACAGUAGAGGUGGGCGGAAUUCGUGGUGUAGCGGUGAAAUGCUUAGAUAUCACGAAGAACUCCGAUUGCGAAGGCAGUUCACUGGACUGCAACUGACACUGAGGCUCGAAAGUGUGGGUAUCAAACAGGAUUAGAUACCCCAGUAGAC